Long non-coding RNA from Cyprinus carpio (common carp), 256 nucleotides. RefSeq lists it as uncharacterized. The record is from RefSeq and is a predicted model, not a curated record. The transcript is spliced from 4 exons. NCBI's taxonomy places the organism in Eukaryota, Metazoa, Chordata, Actinopteri, Cypriniformes, Cyprinidae.
AGAAGAAAGAGCAGGUUCCUGGCAAAAUGCAGGGCUCUCUUGAGGACCAGAUUAUUGCUGCCAACCCUCUGCUUGAGGCUUAUGGUAAUGCCAAGACUGUGAGAAAUGACAACUCCUCUCGUUUUGGUAAAUUCAUCAGAAUUCACUUCGGUACAUCAGGAAAAUUGGCUAGUGCUGACAUUGAGACAUAUCUGCUGGAGAAGUCUAGAGUGACAUUCCAGCUUCCAGAUGAGAGAGGCUACCACAUCAUAAUAAA